AGUGGCGGACGGGUGAGUAACGCGUGGGCAACCUGCCCCACACAGGGGGACAACAGCCGGAAACGGCUGCUAAUACCGCAUAAGCGCACAGCCUCGCAUGAGGCGGUGUGAAAAGCUCCGGCGGUGUGGGAUGGGCCCGCGUCUGAUUAGCUGGUUGGCGGGGCAGCGGCCCACCAAGGCGACGAUCAGUAGCCGGCCUGAGAGGGUGGACGGCCACAUUGGGACUGAGACACGGCCCAAACUCCUACGGGAGGCAGCAGUGGGGAAUAUUGCACAAUGGGGGGAACCCUGAUGCAGCGACGCCGCGUGAGUGAAGAAGUAUUUCGGUAUGUAAAGCUCUAUCAGCAGGGAAGAAGAUGACGGUACCUGACUAAGAAGCCCCGGCUAACUACGUGCCAGCAGCCGCGGUAAUACGUAGGGGGCAAGCGUUAUCCGGAUUUACUGGGUGUAAAGGGAGCGUAGACGGCAGGGCAAGUCUGGAGUGAAAGCCCGGGGCCCAACCCCGGGACUGCUUUGGAAACUGCCAUGCUGGAGUGCUGGAGAGGUAAGCGGAAUUCCUAGUGUAGCGGUGAAAUGCGUAGAUAUUAGGAGGAACACCAGUGGCGAAGGCGGCUUACUGGACAGUAACUGACGUUGAGGCUCGAAAGCGUGGGGAGCAAACAGGAUUAGAUACCCUGGUA
Molecule: ribosomal RNA, 680 nt
Filed under: uncultured bacterium
Lineage: Bacteria
Description: bacterial SSU rRNA
Rfam family: Bacterial small subunit ribosomal RNA
Source: RNAcentral